UUUAUUUAAUAAAUUACCUUCUAGGAAGUAAAAAGUGUAUCAUAGCAUUGCCCUAGGCAAUCUUAACAAAAAUUCAACAUAAUCUCUUAUAGAAUUAGAGUUGUAAAAUCAUACAUAUAAAAAUCCACAAGACUAUAGGAGUAGAUAACCACAAGACUAUACCAAAUCCUACCAGCAGGACAUCGAAACCAAGGAGCAAAAUUAGAAACAGACUUUGCAAUUCCUAGGCUGGAACGGCGAUGCGUUGGUGACACAAGGCGCGGCGACAGAGAGCUGGCAGCUGAUCUUAGCCUUGGGCCCACGGACCUUGAACGCCCAGACCUUGACCCUGAGCUUGGCGUUGAGAUCCACACGCUGCGGCUGGUGGCUGCGGCGCUGGCGCUCUGCGCGAGGACGGGGGCGAGCGGGCUGCUGCACCUGCGGCGCUGGCGCGCACGCGACGUCACGAUGAUGGGCGUUAGGGCAGGCGACUGUGGCGGCAGCGCUGCAUGACUCGUGAGGACUGAGGACGAAACUUGGGCU
This 522-nucleotide long non-coding RNA is filed under the name Sorghum bicolor (sorghum). RNAcentral describes it as "long non-coding RNA (SBIC_LNC017421)". The record is from RNAcentral. Lineage: Eukaryota; Viridiplantae; Streptophyta; Magnoliopsida; Poales; Poaceae.